CUGGCGGCGUGCCUAACACAUGCAAGUCGAACGGAGAGUUUGAAACGAGAAUUUCGGUUCAAGUUUUUAAAUUCUUAGUGGCGGACGGGUGAGUAACGCGUGAGUAACCUGCCGUUCAGAGGGGGACAACAGUUGGAAACGACUGCUAAUACCGCAUAACGUACAGUUUUGGCAUCAUUACUGUACCAAAGGAGCAAUCCGCUGAAUGAUGGACUCGCGUCCGAUUAGAUAGUUGGUGAGGUAACGGCUCACCAAGUCGACGAUCGGUAGCCGGACUGAGAGGUUGAACGGCCACAUUGGGACUGAGACACGGCCCAGACUCCUACGGGAGGCAGCAGUGGGGGAUAUUGCACAAUGGAGGAAACUCUGAUGCAGCAACGCCGCGUGAGGGAAGAAGGUCUUCGGAUUGUAAACCUUUGUUUUUAGUGACGAAUAAAUGACGGUAGCUAAAGAGGAAGCCACGGCUAACUACGUG
Molecule: ribosomal RNA, 475 nt
Filed under: uncultured bacterium
Lineage: Bacteria
Description: bacterial SSU rRNA
Rfam family: Bacterial small subunit ribosomal RNA
Source: RNAcentral